RNAcentral lists this unclassified non-coding RNA (798 nucleotides) under Hevea brasiliensis (rubber tree). Lineage: Eukaryota; Viridiplantae; Streptophyta; Magnoliopsida; Malpighiales; Euphorbiaceae. The record is from RNAcentral.
UUGGGUUCGUACCCAGGUAAACAAGCACAUUCAAAUGUAUUAACAUUGUUGGGUUCACACUUACUAUUAGCACCACACACUCCAUACCAGUCACACCGGUACUUUGGAGCCGACCAGAAAUCCAUCCAUUGAGCUUCCAUUUCGUGCCAUAUUAGCCACUUUACAAAUCCUGCUUCAUCCACAUACAUUCUUAUUAUAACAGAGGGAUCACUAUAACUAUAUCUGAAGUAUAUUUCGUCUUCUGUAUUUAAAAAGCUGUAGUUGUAAACAUUUGCUAUUGUUUUCCAUGGCCAUGGAACGCUGCGCCAGUAUUGAUUCGCACCUUUGUAUUGAAAGAACUGUGGUGAGCCACUUGGGUUUAGCCUAACCGAGUACUCCCCACUUCCAGGAUCAUCAGCUGAUCUCCAUGAUGUUAGGAACCUAUUCAGACCUGUUUUUUUGUCCAACCCAAAUUUCAUUCCUUGCAGCAGGGUGUUUGUAGGAUAAUCAAAGCUUUGCCACACAACUCUUUUACUUCUUUCUUGGAUCAAAACCAAGUUUCCUGAAUCCAAAAGCUGAGCUACACAAGUGCCUGUCAUUUCCACUGAAACAUUUGUUGACCACACAAGAAUUUUCUGUUUAAGGUUGCUAUACAGAAUGAGAUUUCCAUAUUGGUUAAUUGAUAGAACUCCUGAGGAGCCAUUGAUUGGAUCAUUCCUAUUUGCUACCCAAACGACAGUUUGCUCUCGAACUUUAUAGUACCAGAUUCCAAGAUAUCUAUACCUGGACCUUCCGGGGCUAAAAAAUCCUAAAGCAAAA